Long non-coding RNA from Sycon ciliatum, 562 nucleotides. RefSeq lists it as uncharacterized. The record is from RefSeq and is a predicted model, not a curated record. The transcript is spliced from 4 exons. Lineage: Eukaryota; Metazoa; Porifera; Calcarea; Leucosolenida; Sycettidae.
GUUAAUUACUUUGCUUUGCCUCCCCACUUAAUUACAUUUCCUUGCAAGUUCUACGUCACAAACGAUCGUGUAGUGUAAUAGUGGGAACAGAACGUUUGUGCAAUGUUCCUCUCCUAUUUUAAUUUACGCGUUACUUUACUUGCCACUUUGACUCAUGUAACAUUUUUACAGCGUCAACAAGACCAGGUUCCGUCACAUUGACAGCACUACCCGGAAGCAGUUCAGUACAACAGGUUGCAGCUCCCGAACCUGCUAUCACUGUACGUCAUUCCGCAACAUCUACCUUGGCCCCUGCACUCGUGUGCACAACAAAUCGGGAACAACAAACAGAACUGUUUUGCAGAGGUGCCCGUGCAUCUCAAUCUACUGCAGCCACAUCGUCUACAAUGUCUGUACCAGUCAUGUCUGUACCAGAUGAGCCACAGCAAAGGGCAAGAUGUCAUACACCUGCGCGUUUACUUCCCUCUGCAUGAGCCACGUUGUAUCCAAUGUCUGCUACGUCUGUACCAGUAUGCACAACAGAUGAGCUACAGGAAAGGGCAAGAUGCAAUACAGGUAUGCU